RNAcentral lists this ribosomal RNA (727 nucleotides) under Bacillus cereus. RNAcentral's name for it is "bacterial SSU rRNA". It matches the Rfam family "Bacterial small subunit ribosomal RNA", at positions 35 to 741 of the family's 1533-position model. Lineage: Bacteria; Bacillati; Bacillota; Bacilli; Caryophanales; Bacillaceae. The record is from RNAcentral.
GGGGGGGGCGCCGUNAGUUAGGUCCAAUGUCCUCACGAUGGGAUUAAGAGCUUGCUCUUAUGAAGUUAGCGGCGGACGGGUGAGUAACACGUGGGUAACCUGCCCAUAAGACUGGGAUAACUCCGGGAAACCGGGGCUAAUACCGGAUAACAUUUUGAACUGCAUGGUUCGAAAUUGAAAGGCGGCUUCGGCUGUCACUUAUGGAUGGACCCGCGUCGCAUUAGCUAGUUGGUGAGGUAACGGCUCACCAAGGCAACGAUGCGUAGCCGACCUGAGAGGGUGAUCGGCCACACUGGGACUGAGACACGGCCCAGACUCCUACGGGAGGCAGCAGUAGGGAAUCUUCCGCAAUGGACGAAAGUCUGACGGAGCAACGCCGCGUGAGUGAUGAAGGCUUUCGGGUCGUAAAACUCUGUUGUUAGGGAAUAACAAGUGCUAGUUGAAUAAGCUGGCACCUUGACGGUACCUAACCAGAAAGCCACGGCUAACUACGUGCCAGCAUCCGCGGUAAUACGUAGGUGGCAAGCGUUAUCCGGAAUUAUUGGGCGUAAAGCGCGCGCAUGUGGUUUCUUGUCUGAUGUGAAAGCCCACAGCUCAACCGUGGAGGGUCAUUGGAGACUGGGAGACUUGAGUGCGCAAGAGAUAGUGGAAUUUCAUGUGUGGGCGGGGGGUGGGGUANGCUAUGGGAGGAACGCCAAUGGCAGAGGCGGAUUUCCGGACGGGUGUU